This 506-nucleotide ribosomal RNA is filed under the name uncultured bacterium. RNAcentral's name for it is "partial 16S ribosomal RNA". It matches the Rfam family "Bacterial small subunit ribosomal RNA", at positions 29 to 523 of the family's 1533-position model. The record is from RNAcentral.
AGUGAACGCUGGCGGUAGGCCUAACACAUGCAAGUCGAACGGCAGCACAGGAGAGCUUGCUCUCUGGGUGGCGAGUGGCGGACGGGUGAGGAAUACAUCGGAAUCUACUUUUUCGUGGGGGAUAACGUAGGGAAACUUACGCUAAUACCGCAUACGACCUACGGGUGAAAGCAGGGGAUCUUCGGACCUUGCGCGAUUGAAUGAGCCGAUGUCGGAUUAGCUAGUUGGCGGGGUAAAGGCCCACCAAGGCGACGCUCCGUAGCUGGUCCGAGAGGAUGAUCAGCCACACUGGAACUGAGACACGGUCCAGACUCCUACGGGAGGCAGCAGUGGGGAAUAUUGGACAAUGGGCGCAAGCCUGAUCCAGCCAUACCGCGUGGGUGAAGAAGGCCUUCGGGUUGCAAAGCCCUUUUGUUGGGAAAGAAAUCCAGCUGGUUAAUACCCGGUUGGGAUGACGGUACCCAAAGAAUAAGCACCGGCUAACUUCGUGCCAGCAGCCGCCGUAA